UGAGUAACACGUAUCCAACCUGCCGUCUACUCUUGGCCAGCCUUCUGAAAGGAAGAUUAAUCCAGGAUGGCAUCAUGAGUUCACAUGUCCGCAUGAUUAAAGGUAUUUUCCGGUAGACGAUGGGGAUGCGUUCCAUUAGAUAGUAGGCGGGGUAGCGGCCCACCUAGUCAACGAUGGAUAGGGGUUCUGAGAGGAAGGUCCCCCACAUUGGAACUGAGACACGGUCCAA
Molecule: ribosomal RNA, 229 nt
Filed under: uncultured bacterium
Lineage: Bacteria
Description: partial 16S ribosomal RNA
Rfam family: Bacterial small subunit ribosomal RNA
Source: RNAcentral